This 1844-nucleotide unclassified non-coding RNA is filed under the name Hevea brasiliensis (rubber tree). Lineage: Eukaryota; Viridiplantae; Streptophyta; Magnoliopsida; Malpighiales; Euphorbiaceae. The record is from RNAcentral.
CAAGUACUGAAAAAAAAAAAAAAAACUUAAAAAUUACAGGGGGAGAGGAGGGAAACCAAGAUCAUUGCGGCCAAAACAGACCACCAUGAUAGUGACGAUGAACAAGACUCUGCCUUUUCGAACUGCAGAGAAUCAACUGCCAAUGGCAUGUUUUCUUGGUCCGGGCUGCACUUGGAUUCGUGGGGUGGAUGGGCACUGUACAUUAUGGCUCGUAAAACGGCUGAAACCGUCGGUAUAUAGGCCGUCUUGUUGCGGGCGAGCAGCCAUGUCAGACCCAUCAACUGGCAGUCCCUAUUGAACAUAUUGCUUGCCCUGUCAUCUCUUCCCUCCUCUGUUUGGUUCUUGUUGCUGGCCUUCACCUGCAAUUAGCAAACAUUUUCAAGGGCAUUUUAGUCCCCAGAAAAACAAUGUGCGAGGACAAAAAAGUUGAAGAAGAAAGGUGCAUGCUGAAGGGGAUAGCCAGAACCACAUGAGCAGGGGUCGUUUUCUAGUUGGUAAUGGUCUAUGGCAAGAAAGACUUUGGUUCAUUUCACAAAAAGGCAAAAGAAAAAACACCUCCCCAAGUGGACUUUCACUUUCAUAUUACUCAUGUGCCAUUUUCAGCCUAUAAUUGUAAAAAACACCAUGCCUUGAAUUAUCUCUCUUUGGUCUCCACUAAAAUUAGCUCAAGAUUGUUAUUCCCAGAAACCCAGUUUGCCUUUUCUUGGUUUCAAGUAAUGGAAAAGGGAAACUAACCAAAAAUACUCUUGAGCUACUAAUUAAAUGGCUACAAAGUCCAAAUUCUGAACUACUAAUUCAAUGGUUACAAAACCCAGUUUUCCAAAUGAGGUAGUGUAGCAUAAAAUUGACUCUUAGAUGAGUAUUUAAUUUAAUGAAAUCCAAAGGAAUUCACACAAAAUCACCAACCUAAUAAAUGCAAUUCCUUUAUUCAUUGAAGCAACUCCAAGUAGUCACCAACAUAAUAAAUGCAGGUAAUACCUCAAAAACUGACCUUUUGGAGGGCGCCAAGGCACUUAGUACACCCAGCGUACGAGGAAUUCUUACAAUUCUUCUCCAAAUUCCUCACAGCAGCAGUGGGAGUGGCAUUAUGGAAGCCAGAGCUGACAUUGAAAGCCGCAGGGCAACUCAGAGAACUGAUCUGGUGAAGCCUAAUCCCACAAAAGCACAAUAUAGCAUCGCAGCUCGCAUUCGGUUGAGGUAUCUUCACGUUCCUGCUCAACAGCGAGCUUUGCAGCGAAUUCACGCAUUUUUGAGAGUCAUCCGGCAUCAUUGGUUGGUCAGGUUCCGCCGAUGUCGGGGCAGAGGCCGGGACCUGAAGGGCAUACCGAGCGUGAGCAGCGAAGAGCCACGCGGCUAACACCGGGCAACACCUGCUCCGGUCCAGGUCUCGGCCGCAUGCAUCGUUGACACCUCCAAAUAGCUCCGCUGAGAGGUCCAGCCGGCACGUUUGCGACUCGGUUUGAACCGGAAAUGCCGGAACAGUAUUAGGGGUGGAGUAGUCGCGCGGUUUUAGUGGCUGGUUUUCGCUAGAAACAGGUUGGCUUAGAAAACCAGCAAGACAAGGAGUAUAUAAGCAGUAGAAGAAUAUGAGUAAAACAAAAGUCAUUGUAAGAAGAAAUGAAAAAGUGGGUCUGAUUAGCUUCCUCUGGAGUUGUGGAAAGUAGUAAAAAGCAGGAAGAUUUGUGAAUGAGAUGAGGUUUGAAUCUGGUUUUAAUUGAAGGGUUUGUAUUAAAUGAUUGAAGAAGAAGGAAAAGUAGAGGAAUCAGGAGAUAUUCAAAGGAAAUGAGUGGGUUUGGUGACUUUUAUCUGGGAUGGGUUAGAGUUGAGAGAGAGAGAGAGAGAGA